RNAcentral lists this ribosomal RNA (484 nucleotides) under uncultured bacterium. RNAcentral describes it as "partial 16S ribosomal RNA". It matches the Rfam family "Bacterial small subunit ribosomal RNA", at positions 29 to 507 of the family's 1533-position model. The record is from RNAcentral.
AUUGAACGCUGGCGGCAUGCUUUACACAUGCAAGUCGAACGGCAGCGCGGGCUUCGGCCUGUCGGCGAGUGGCGAACGGGUGAGUAAUACAUCGGAACGUGCCCAGUAGCGGGGGAUAGCUCGGCGAAAGCCGGAUUAAUACCGCAUACGACCUGAGGGUGAAAGCGGGGGAUCUUCGGACCUCGCGCGAUUUGAGCGGCCGAUGGCAGAUUAGCUAGUUGGUGGGGUAAAGGCCUACCAAGGCGACGAUCUGUAGCUGGUCUGAGAGGAGGACCAGCCACACUGGGACUGAGACACGGCCCAGACUCCUACGGGAGGCAGCAGUGGGGAAUUUUGGACAAUGGGCGAAAGCCUGAUCCAGCAAUGGCGCGUGUGUGAUGAAGGCCUUCGGGUUGUAAAGCACUUUUGGCGGGAACGAAAAGGACUGUGCCAAUACCACGGUUCGAUGACGGUACCUGCAGAAUAAGCACCGGCUAACUACGUG